CCUACGGGCGGCAGCAGUGAGGAAUAUUGGUCAAUGGGCGGGAGCCUGAACCAGCCAAGCCGCGUGAGGGAAGAAGGUACAGCGUAUCGUAAACCUCUUUUGUCAGGGAACAAAGGCGGGGACUAGUCCCCGGAUGAGGGUACCUGAAGAAAAAGCAUCGGCUAACUCCGUGCCAGCAGCCGCGGUAAUACGGAGGAUGCGAGCGUUAUCCGGUUUUAUUGGGUUUAAAGGGUGCGCAGGCGGCCUGUUAAGGCAGUGGGAAAAGCCCGGGGCUCAACCCCGGCGAGCAGUGGAAACUGGGGGGCUGGAGUGGGAGAGAGGUACGCGGAAUGCGCGGUGUAGCGGUGAAAUGCUUAGAUAUCGCGCAGAACCCCGAUUGCGAAGGCAGCGUACCGGCUCCACACUGACGCUGAGGCACGAAAGCGUGGGUAUCGAACAGGAUUAGAUACCCCAGUAGUC
RNAcentral lists this ribosomal RNA (459 nucleotides) under uncultured bacterium. RNAcentral describes it as "partial 16S ribosomal RNA". It matches the Rfam family "Bacterial small subunit ribosomal RNA", at positions 338 to 795 of the family's 1533-position model. The record is from RNAcentral.